This 74-nucleotide transfer RNA is filed under the name Lachnospira eligens. RNAcentral's name for it is "[Eubacterium] eligens tRNA-Leu". It matches the Rfam family "tRNA". From Rfam's summary of the family: Transfer RNA (tRNA) molecules are approximately 80 nucleotides in length. Their secondary structure includes four short double-helical elements and three loops (D, anti-codon, and T loops). The record is from RNAcentral. Lineage: Bacteria; Bacillati; Bacillota; Clostridia; Lachnospirales; Lachnospiraceae.
AUGUCUGUAGCUUAAUUGGAUAGGAAGCGCCGGCGCAGUAGUCGGAGGUGCAGGUUCGAGUCCUGCCAGGCAUA